RNAcentral lists this ribosomal RNA (254 nucleotides) under uncultured bacterium. Its description in RNAcentral is "partial 16S ribosomal RNA". It matches the Rfam family "Bacterial small subunit ribosomal RNA", at positions 524 to 777 of the family's 1533-position model. The record is from RNAcentral.
UACGGAGGGUGCGAGCGUUGUCCGGAAUCACUGGGCGUAAAGGGCGCGUAGGUGGCGCGGGCAGUCAACGGUGAAAGUUCGGGGCUCAACCCUGAAUCGGCCGUCGAUACUCCCGUGCUUGAGCACUGUAGAGGCAGAUGGAAUUCCGGGUGUAGCGGUGGAAUGUGUAGAGAUCCGGAAGAACACCGGUGGCGAAGGCGGUCUGCUGGGCAGUAGCUGACACUGAGGCGCGACAGCGUGGGGAGCAAACAGGG